Molecule: ribosomal RNA, 495 nt
Filed under: uncultured bacterium
Lineage: Bacteria
Description: partial 16S ribosomal RNA
Rfam family: Bacterial small subunit ribosomal RNA
Source: RNAcentral
GACGAACGCUGGCGGCGUGCCUAAUACAUGCAAGUAGAACGCUGAAGGAGGAGCUUGCUUCUCCGGAUGAGUUGCGAACGGGUGAGUAACGCGUAGGUAACCUGCCUGGUAGCGGGGGAUAACUAUUGGAAACGAUAGCUAAUACCGCAUAACAGUAGAUAUCGCAUGAUAUCUGCUUGAAAGGUGCAAUUGCAUCACUACCAGAUGGACCUGCGUUGUAUUAGCUAGUUGGUGAGGUAACGGCUCACCAAGGCGACGAUACAUAGCCGACCUGAGAGGGUGAUCGGCCACACUGGGACUGAGACACGGCCCAGACUCCUACGGGAGGCAGCAGUAGGGAAUCUUCGGCAAUGGACGGAAGUCUGACCGAGCAACGCCGCGUGAGUGAAGAAGGUUUUCGGAUCGUAAAGCUCGGUUGUAAGAGAAGAACGAGUGUGAGAGUGGAAAGUUCACACUGUGACGGUAUCUUACCAGAAAGAGACGGCUAACUACGUG